Non-coding RNA from Acanthosepion pharaonis, 112 nucleotides. Lineage: Eukaryota; Metazoa; Mollusca; Cephalopoda; Sepiida; Sepiidae. The record is from the annotation of a GenBank genome assembly.
ACGGCCAUAUAACUUUCAAACAUCGGUUCCCGUAUGAUCACUGAAGUUAAGCAACAUCGAUUAUGGUCUGUACCUAAAUGGGUAACUGCUUGGGAAUACCAGGUGUUGUAAG